UACAGAGGGUGCAAGCGUUGCUCGGAAUUAUUGGGCGUAAAGGGUAGGUAGGUGGUCUUAUUUGUCUGGGGUGAAAGCCUUGAGCUUAACUCAAGAAGUGCCCCAGAAACGGUAAGACUAGAGUCUUGGAGAGGGUUGCGGAAUUCCCGGUGUAGCGGUGAAAUGCGUGGAGAUCGGGAGGAACACCAGAGGCGAAGGCGGCAACCUGGACAAGUACUGACACUCAACUACGAAAGCGUGGGGAGCAAACAGG
This 253-nucleotide ribosomal RNA is filed under the name uncultured bacterium. RNAcentral's name for it is "partial 16S ribosomal RNA". It matches the Rfam family "Bacterial small subunit ribosomal RNA", at positions 524 to 776 of the family's 1533-position model. The record is from RNAcentral.